This 495-nucleotide ribosomal RNA is filed under the name uncultured bacterium. Its description in RNAcentral is "bacterial SSU rRNA". It matches the Rfam family "Bacterial small subunit ribosomal RNA", at positions 899 to 1397 of the family's 1533-position model. The record is from RNAcentral.
ACUCAAAUGAAUUGACGGGGGCCCGCACAAGCAGUGGAGUAUGUGGAUUAAUUCGACGCAACGCGAAGAACCUUACCAAGGUUUGACAUCCUAAGAAUUCGGUAGAAAUACUGAAGUGCCUUUCGGGGAACUUAGAGACAGGUGGUGCAUGGUUGUCGUCAGCUCGUGUCGUGAGAUGUUGGGUUAAGUCCCGCAACGAGCGCAACCCUUACGGUUAGUUGCUACGCAAGAGCACUCUAGCCGGACUGCCGUUGACAAAACGGAGGAAGGUGGGGACGACGUCAAAUCAUCAUGCCCCUUAUAUCUUGGGCUUCACACGUACUACAAUGGCGAUUUACAACGCGCUGCGACCACGCGAGUGGAAGCGAAUCGCUUAAAAGUCGCCUCAGUUCGGAUCGCAGGCUGCAACCCGCCUGCGUGAAGUCGGAAUUGCUAGUAAUCGCGGAUCAGCAUGCCGCGGUGAAUACGUUCCCGGGCCUUGCACACACCGCCCGU